UUACGGCCAUAUAGCGUUGAAACACCGGUUUCCGUAUGAUCACCGAAAUUAAGCAACGUUCAGCCUGGUUAGUACCUAGAUGUGUGACUACUUGGGCUUACCAAGUGCUGUAAG
Acanthosepion pharaonis is the source of this 114-nucleotide non-coding RNA. The record is from the annotation of a GenBank genome assembly. Lineage: Eukaryota; Metazoa; Mollusca; Cephalopoda; Sepiida; Sepiidae.